UGGUUUACCAGACCCGGAAGGCGCGGGCCUUAGUGGCGGACGGGUGAGUAACGCGUGGGGAACCUGCCCCGUACCCGGGGGAUAACACCUGGAAACAGGUGCUAAUACCGCAUAACAGAAGGGGACGCAUGUUUCUUUCUUGAAAACUCCGGUGGUACGGGAUGGACCCGCGUCUGAUUAGCUGGUUGGCGGGGUAACGGCCCACCAAGGCGACGAUCAGUAGCCGGCCUGAGAGGGCGGACGGCCACAUUGGGACUGAGACACGGCCCAAACUCCUACGGGAGGCAGCAG
RNAcentral lists this ribosomal RNA (291 nucleotides) under uncultured bacterium. Its description in RNAcentral is "partial 16S ribosomal RNA". It matches the Rfam family "Bacterial small subunit ribosomal RNA", at positions 73 to 354 of the family's 1533-position model. The record is from RNAcentral.